UCCUCGUUAGUAUAGUGGUGAGUAUCCCAGCCUAUCAAGCGGAGACCGGGGUUCGAUUCCCGGACGGGGAG
Molecule: transfer RNA, 71 nt
Filed under: Monodelphis domestica (gray short-tailed opossum)
Lineage: Eukaryota; Metazoa; Chordata; Mammalia; Didelphimorphia; Didelphidae
Rfam family: tRNA
About the family: Transfer RNA (tRNA) molecules are approximately 80 nucleotides in length. Their secondary structure includes four short double-helical elements and three loops (D, anti-codon, and T loops).
Source: Rfam by way of RNAcentral